Cucurbita maxima (winter squash) is the source of this 379-nucleotide long non-coding RNA. RefSeq lists it as uncharacterized. The transcript is spliced from 2 exons. The record is from RefSeq and is a predicted model, not a curated record. NCBI's taxonomy places the organism in Eukaryota, Viridiplantae, Streptophyta, Magnoliopsida, Cucurbitales, Cucurbitaceae.
CUUUCAAGACUCGAACAAGACCUCUCAGCCGCCUGUUCGAGAAGGAAAUCACAGACGACUCUCUGGAUAGAGUGCGUUGGUUGCAGCAGCUGUUUUGGAUUUACGUAUUUUUUAAUAAUAGCAAGAGACAAGUCUCGAUUUGACAACUCGACAACGGGGCAAGGCCCGAUAUCGAGAGGAGAAUAGAUAAGAGGUCCGCUAACUAGACUAGACUGCCCUGCCUCCUUCUACCCACGGACAACUACUAGACCGCCUCACUCAAUAUAUGCUCGUUUAGUUUAGAUCUAAGGAAAGGCGCCUUGACUGACGGGCUUGUUCAGUCUACAUAACCUGUCUCCACAACACAGCUCGGUUCCUUUCUCUAAACUCAAACCGAGAC